This is a small nuclear RNA of Myotis lucifugus (little brown bat), 107 nucleotides long. The record is from Ensembl. NCBI's taxonomy places the organism in Eukaryota, Metazoa, Chordata, Mammalia, Chiroptera, Vespertilionidae.
GUGCUCACUUCAGCAGCACAUAUACUAAACUUGGAACACUACAGAGAAGAUAAGCAUAGCCCCUGCACAAGGAUGGCACACAAAUUGAUGAAGCAUUCCAUCUUAUA